RNAcentral lists this ribosomal RNA (301 nucleotides) under uncultured bacterium. RNAcentral's name for it is "partial 16S ribosomal RNA". It matches the Rfam family "Bacterial small subunit ribosomal RNA", at positions 509 to 809 of the family's 1533-position model. The record is from RNAcentral.
CAGCCGCCGCGGUAGUACGUAGGUGGCAAGCGUUGUCCGGAAUUAUUGGGCGUAAAGCGCGCGCGGGCGGAUCAGUCAGUCUGUCUUAAAAGUUCGGGGCUUAACCCCGUGAUGGGAUGGAAACUGCUGAUCUAGAGUAUCGGAGAGGAAAGUGGAAUUCCUAGUGUAGCGGUGAAAUGCGUAGAUAUUAGGAAGAACACCAGUGGCGAAGGCGACUUUCUGGACGAAAACUGACGCUGAGGCGCGAAAGCCAGGGGAGCGAACAGGAUUAGAUACCCCAGUAGUCCCUGUCUCUUAUACA